UAUCUCUGUAGAGUCUGCAUAUCAAUAAGCGGAGGAAAAGAAACUAACUAGGAUUCCCUCAGCAACGGCGAGUGAAGCGGGAAGAGCUCAAAUUUGAAAUCUUCAAGGUUUUACCUUGACGAAUUGUAGUUUAAAGAAGUGUUUUCUGUUGGAGUUUUGGUAAAAGUUCUUUGGAAUAGGACAUCGUAGAGGGUGAGAAUCCCGUAUUUGACCAUUAUUUCCAGCUUUGUGAUACACUUUCAAAGAGUCGGAUUGUUUGGGAAUGCAGUCCAAAAUGGGUGGUAAAUUUCAUCUAAAGCUAAAUACUGGCGAGAGACCGAUAGCGAACAAGUACCGUGAGGGAAAGAUGAAAAGAACUUUGAAAAGAGAGUUAAACAGUACGUGAAAUUGUCAAAAGGGAAGCGUUUGACACCAGUGUUGUUUUCUCGAAAAUCAAUUAAAAAGUGUUGGAUUUUGUAUUGUUAAGACCUUAUCAGCUUACUGUACUCUUUUCCUGCUCUUUUUAAUGCACUUUUCGUUUAACAAGUCAACAUCAAUUUCUUUUGUUGUAAAAGAGUCAUUGGAAGGUGGCUUUCUUUUCGGAGAAAGUGUUUAUAGCCUUUGACUCCUGCAAUCGGAGAGACUGAGGUCUGCAGCGUAGAUCCUUCGGGGUUAGAUACAUUUGUGCUAAGUUAUAGCCUUUCAUAGACAACUUGUUGACUAUGAUUCAGUCAUGUAGGCUUACUCGCUAUGCGCUAUUUUACCUACGCUUAGGAUGUUGAGUCAUCACACAUCUCU
Molecule: ribosomal RNA, 777 nt
Filed under: uncultured Neocallimastigales
Lineage: Eukaryota; Fungi; Neocallimastigomycota; Neocallimastigomycetes; Neocallimastigales
Description: partial large subunit ribosomal RNA
Rfam family: Eukaryotic large subunit ribosomal RNA
Source: RNAcentral